CCAGACUCCUACGGGAGGCAGCAGUGGGGAAUAUUGCACAAUGGGGGAAACCCUGAUGCAGCGACGCCGCGUGAAGGAAGAAGUAUUUCGGUAUGUAAACUUCUAUCAGCAGGGAAGAAAAUGACGGUACCUGACUAAGAAGCCCCGGCUAACUACGUGCCAGCAGCCGCGGUAAUACGUAUGGAGCAAGCGUUAUCCGGAUUUACUGGGUGUAAAGGGGGCGCAGACGGCGAUGCAAGCCAGGAGUGAAAGCCCGGGGCCCAACCCCGGGACUGCCCUUGGAACUGCAUGGCUGGAGUGCGGGAGGGGCAGGCGGAAUUCCUGGUGUAGCGGUGAAAUGCGUAGAUAUCAGGAGGAACACCGGCGGCGAAGGCGGCCUGCUGGACCGCGACUGACGUUGAGGCUCGAAAGCGUGGGGAGCGAACAGGAUUAGAUACCCGUGUAC
Molecule: ribosomal RNA, 445 nt
Filed under: uncultured bacterium
Lineage: Bacteria
Description: partial 16S ribosomal RNA
Rfam family: Bacterial small subunit ribosomal RNA
Source: RNAcentral